Molecule: ribosomal RNA, 463 nt
Filed under: Streptococcus sanguinis
Lineage: Bacteria; Bacillati; Bacillota; Bacilli; Lactobacillales; Streptococcaceae
Description: bacterial SSU rRNA
Rfam family: Bacterial small subunit ribosomal RNA
Source: RNAcentral
GACGAACGCUGGCGGCGUGCCUAAUACAUGCAAGUAGAACGCUGAAGAGAGGAGCUUGCUCUUCUUGGAUGAGUUGCGAACGGGUGAGUAACGCGUAGGUAACCUGCCUGGUAGCGGGGGAUAACUAUUGGAAACGAUAGCUAAUACCGCAUGAUAUUAAUUGUCGCAUGAUAAUUAAUUGAAAGAUGCAAUUGCAUCACUACCAGAUGGACCUGCGUUGUAUUAGUUAGUUGGUGAGGUAACGGCUCACCAAGGCGACGAUACAUAGCCGACCUGAGAGGGUGAUCGGCCACACUGGGACUGAGACACGGCCCAGACUCCUACGGGAGGCAGCAGUAGGGAAUCUUCGGCAAUGGGGGGAACCCUGACCGAGCAACGCCGCGUGAGUGAAGAAGGUUUUCGGAUCGUAAAGCUCUGUUGUAAGAGAAGAACGGGUGUGAGAGUGGAAAGUUCACACUGAGAC